GCAGGCUGCUAACCUGGGCUGCCCAUGUCCAGGUCACCGAUAGUGCAGGGAAAGGGUUUGCCGAAAGUGUUUCCCUGUGUUCGGAGGGUCCACUCCUGUCCCUUUCAAACCUGGAACAUUCCCGCA
Ursus americanus (American black bear) is the source of this 126-nucleotide small nucleolar RNA. Its record names the gene SNORA71. It matches the Rfam family "Small nucleolar RNA SNORA71". Rfam says of the family: The members of this family belong to the H/ACA class of snoRNAs which bind a number of proteins (including dyskerin, Gar1p and Nop10p) to form snoRNP complexes. The record is from Ensembl. NCBI's taxonomy places the organism in Eukaryota, Metazoa, Chordata, Mammalia, Carnivora, Ursidae.